GUGCUUGUGGUGUAGUGGUUAUCACGUCCGCUUCACACGUGGAAGGCCCCUGUUUCGAUCCCUGGCAAGCACA
Molecule: transfer RNA, 73 nt
Filed under: Limulus polyphemus (Atlantic horseshoe crab)
Lineage: Eukaryota; Metazoa; Arthropoda; Merostomata; Xiphosura; Limulidae
Description: tRNA-Val
Rfam family: tRNA
About the family: Transfer RNA (tRNA) molecules are approximately 80 nucleotides in length.
Source: RNAcentral